UCCUCCCUCUUUCUUCGUGCUUAACACAUGCAAGUCGAACGGAAAGGCCCUGCUUUUGUGGGGUGCUCGAGUGGCGAACGGGUGAGUAACACGUGAGUAACCUGCCCUUGGCUUUGGGAUAACUUCAGGAAACUGGGGCUAAUACCGGAUAGGAGCUCCUGCUGCAUGGUGGGGGUUGGAAAGUUUCGGCGGUUGGGGAUGGACUCGCGGCUUAUCAGCUUGUUGGUGGGGUAGUGGCUUACCAAGGCUUUGACGGGUAGCCGGCCUGAGAGGGUGACCGGCCACAUUGGGACUGAGAUACGGCCCAGACUCCUACGGGAGGCAGCAGUGGGGAAUAUUGCACAAUGGGCGGAAGCCUGAUGCAGCAACGCCGCGUGCGGGAUGACGGCCUUCGGGUUGUAAACCGCUUUCGCCUGUGACGAAGCGUGAGUGACGGUAAUGGGUAAAGAAGCACCGGCUAACUACGUG
RNAcentral lists this ribosomal RNA (468 nucleotides) under uncultured bacterium. RNAcentral's name for it is "partial 16S ribosomal RNA". It matches the Rfam family "Bacterial small subunit ribosomal RNA", at positions 36 to 507 of the family's 1533-position model. The record is from RNAcentral.